GGGGGUGCUUUGGUUUCGACAGGGUUACCGAAGUGUUAGUUGCAAGUCGAGGUCUCAGACGAGGGCAACUCGUUAAAAAGUCUGAAAAAAAAUAAGUGCUGACGAAAACGGCCUCAUCCCGCUCCCAUCGGGGUGUACGUCCGGACGCAAUAUGGGAUAGGAUGCCUGCAUGCCUGGGGUGCGUGUCCGAGAUUUACUAGGCUGGUCAAACUCCGCGCCGACCUUCUUGGGCGUGGAUAAGACGAGAUUUCAAAUGCGAAGGGAACGCUUGUAGGAACGUACAUGGACGUGAUUUUGGACAGGAGUUCGACUCUCCUCACCUCCA
Molecule: transfer-messenger RNA, 325 nt
Filed under: Fibrobacter succinogenes
Lineage: Bacteria; Pseudomonadati; Fibrobacterota; Fibrobacteria; Fibrobacterales; Fibrobacteraceae
Rfam family: transfer-messenger RNA
About the family: Bacterial tmRNA, also known as 10Sa RNA or SsrA, is named for its dual tRNA and mRNA-like properties. Its role is to liberate the mRNA from a stalled ribosome.
Source: RNAcentral